This 17941-nucleotide long non-coding RNA is filed under the name Lupinus angustifolius (narrow-leaved blue lupine). RNAcentral describes it as "long non-coding RNA (LANG_LNC002269)". Lineage: Eukaryota; Viridiplantae; Streptophyta; Magnoliopsida; Fabales; Fabaceae. The record is from RNAcentral.
AUGCUUAAGUUCUUCUACAGACCAAGGAAAUCAUCUAAGUUGUGGAAUUGGCUUGUGAUGCAAAAUCUUCAGCAUUGGCAAAAAAAUAUAUCACCCGCUCAUCUCUUUCAUUUUAUAUGCAAGAAUCUUUCACUAAAUUGGUCCUUGAGAUAUUCAAGAUAUACAAUAAUUUUACUUCACUAUGACUUUUAAGAUAUGCAUCGAACAACACAUUGUUAAUUUCACAAAAAUAGAUCAGUAUAAAAAUCUAAAAAGUAAACAAGUAAUAAAAUCCAAAAGCACCAACAACAAAAGAAACAUUAACAAAUUAAAGUUGAAGAAAAUAAAUAAAGUCAACCUCUUAGUUAGAGAGUGAGCUUCUUCAUCACUGAAAUGUUUAGGAUGAUUGUGAGUGUUCAAUCCACCUAACUGGAGUAAACUUCAAAGUACUAUAGAAUUAUCAUCAAGAUAGAACAUAUUAGGCGAUGAUGGUCCAAACAAGUAGUAUGAGUCUGCAUAUCAUGGCUGUGAUGAGUUUUAUAUUCAUAGUUAUAUGUAGAAAUAUUUAUAGAAAUAAAAAUAAUACAUUGAUUUCUCUAAUUAGCUAAAAUGUUGAAUCAAACACAUUAUACUUAGAUAUUCUGCGAAUUCUAGACAUCUUUAUGAAGGACAUACAAUUUUCUGCAUAAUAGAGCUAGCAGAACCAAAUAACUAGAUUCAUUCCUUCCUUGGGUCACAACAAAAAAUGUGAAGAAAAUCUUUGCUCCUGACCUUGGCAAGGUUUUGAUGAAGACACUAAUAUCACCAAAAAGAAGAAAAUGAAGAAUACUCAUAAGACAAAGAAGAUUAAAGCUUCAAGAAAAUUAGAUUAAGACUCUAUAGGUACUUCUAUCCUAAAACUCUUAAAUAUACAAAGUAGUAAUGCUCAAACUAUUUUUAAAGAAAAAUGAAACACGUAAAAAAAUACUUAAAACAUUUAUUCAAAAAUAGUGUGUAACGGGUUACUUCAUCUAAGUAACAAGUUACGUGUGUAAGAAAAAGAAUUAUCCAACUUAAAACUGUUCAGAGUAUCCAUUACUGUCUUUGAGUAACAGAUUACCAGUUUUGAAAAAGUUGAGUAACCGAUUACCCAAAUGGUGUAAUCGAUUACUCUAAUUCGUUUUUAAAAGAACAGUGGACAGAGAGUUUGGGUAAUCGAUUACCUACUAUAAGUAAUCGAUUAUUGAGAGUUGUUGCAUGAGGUUUCAGAUUUCAAAAUAAAAUGUUUUCACUCCAAACGAAAUCUCUUCACUUCAAACAACUCCUACACUUUCAGAAAGGCACCAUGGAUGUUUGGAAAAUCUAUAUAAAGGCUAUAACUCUCACAACACAAACACACAACAAUNNNNNNNNNNNNNNNNNNNNNNNNNNNNNNNNNNNNNNNNNNNNNNNNNNNNNNNNNNNNNNNNNNNNNNNNNNNNNNNNNNNNNNNNNNNNNNNNNNNNUGUAAGGUACAUAGAAAUCUCGGGGUGAGAUAUUGUAAUUACAACUCAUAAUUCUUAGUGAAGAAAUCUCUUGUGAUACAAGAGUAUUGGACGUAGCCUUCGGUGGACAAGAAGGUGAACCAGUAUAAAAUCUUUGUGUACUCUCUUCUCCCUUAUCUCUUUCAUUUUAUCUUGAUUAUUUUUCUGCAUAUGUUUUCCGCUGCACGUUAACUCUUGAUUUUGCAGAAAAAGUGGCCAUAAUUUUUAAGGCAACUAAUUCACCCUCCCUCUUAGUUGCAACCUCGUUCUUACAAUUGGUGCCAAAGCUAUAUUCGAGUAAGAUACUCUCAAGUNCUCAAGUCUGAUCCUACAUCAAGAUGGCCUCAAGAUCAUUCAUAGGAGAAGGUUCCAACAUCAACCGCCCUCCAAGCUUUGUUGGAGAGUGCUAUGAUUUCUGGAAAAUUAGAAUGAGGAUCUUUAUUGCAUCUCAAGACUUAGACAUAUGGAAUGCCAUUGAAGAAGGACUAUAUAUACCCUUUACUGUUAUCAACAGUAUAAGAGAAAUAAAGCCAAAAUCUUCAUGGAACGAUGAAGACAAAAAAAAUGUACAAUAUGAUUUAAAGGCAAAGAACAUCCUCACCUCCACAUUCGGUAUUGAUGAAUUCUUUAGAGUAUCAAAUUGUGAAUCUGCAAAAAAUGUGGGAUACUCUAGAGACCACACACGAAGGAACAUAGGAAGUAAAAAGGUCAAGACUCAACACUCUUUCUCAGGAAUACGAAAUGUUUCGUAUGAAGCCUGGAGAGAAAAUUCUUGAUUUACAAAAGAGGUUUACUCAUCUUACCAAUCACCUUAUUGCACUUGGCAAAGUUCUAUCAAAUAGUGACUUAAACUUGAAAGUUCUAAUAUCACUCACCAGAAUAUGGCAACCAAAGGUAACUGCAAUUUCUAAAAAGAAAAGUUUAUCUAAAAUGUCUUUGGCUGCUUUGUUUGCCAAACUGCAGGAACACGAACUAGAACUUAGUCAACUUGAUCAACACGAGGAGCAAGAAAAGAAGAAGAAAAAUAUUUCUCUAACAGCAAAAGUGGAUAGAUAUGACUCAUUUGGAGAUGAAUCAGAAAAAGAUGAUACGGANNNNNNNNNNNNNNNNNNNNNNNNNNNNNNNNNNNNNNNNNNNNNNNNNNNNNNNNNNNNNNNNNNNNNNNNNNNNNNNNNNNNNNNNNNNNNNNNNNNNAAAGGGUUCUUUCAAAGGAAAGAAUGAUAUAAAGAUUGGACGAAGAGCAUACAUUGCUUGGGAAGAUAAUGAUAUCAGUUCUGCAUCUGAAACAGAAAACAAAGAGCAAGCACAUCUAUCACUUAUGGCAUCUCAUCAUUCUGAUGAUGAAGAGGUAAACGACUCUAAUCUAUUUUCUUCUUCCGAACUUCAAUCUGUAUUUAAUGAUUUACAUGAUGAAUGUGUCAAAUUAACAAAAAUGUUUCUAAAACAAAAGUUUGAAAUAGAUGCAUUUAGAAACAAACCUUCUUCACCCUCUUGUCAAAACUGCGUUACUCUUGAAAAUAAAGUAUCAACAUUAAGUCUUAAACUUAAUAAACUAAAUAAGAGUGGUAAAAGCUUAGAAAAGAUUAUCAAUGAUCAAGCAGACCGAAGAGGUCUUGGCUAUUCAAAAGGCCAUGGUUUCAAAAAACCAAGUGUCCAAAAGAAAAUAAUCUUUUAAAAGAAAAGUAUACAUGCAUUUGAAAAAUCUAGGAUACACAUUCAUCAACUCAUAUGUACAUACUGUAAAAUUCAUGGGCAUACAUCAAACACAUGUAUGAUUAGAAAAUAUGGUGUACCCCUAGGAAAAUUUAAAUGAGUUGAGAAAGGUACUAACCAUCUAGGAUCCAAAGAAUAUUGGAACCUAACAAAACUUAAUUUGUUUUGUAGGAAAAUUUGAGAGCUACCUACAAUUUAUGGUACUUAAAUAGCGGCUGCUCAAAACAUAUGACAGGCGAUAAAAGUAAAUUCUUUGUCCUCACUCCAAGGGACAAAGGAUAUGUCUCAUAUGGUGACAACAACAAGGGAAGAAUUCUUGGAGUUGGUAGAAUUGGAAAGCCCCCAUCAACAACUAUAGAAGGCGUACUAUAUGUUGAAGGACUCAAGGACAACCUUCUAAGCAUAAGUCAAUUAUGCGACAAAGGAUUUCAUGUGGCGUUCUACCCAGAUAAAUGCAUCAUUGAAAGUAAGGAUUCUAAUAAUUCUAAACUUAAAGGUAAGAGAAUAAAUAAUAUAUAUAUGAUUAACAUGGAUUCUGCUUUACCUAUAAUAUGUUUAGUAGCAAAUGAUAAUCAUGAUGCAUGACUUUGGCAUAAAAGAAUUGCCCACAUACAUAUGGAACAUUUGAAUAAACUUCUUAAGAAAGAUUUAGUUGCCGAUUUACCAAAAAUGAAGUUUGUUAAAGACAAACUAUGUAAUGCUUGUCAAAUGGGUAAACAAACAAAAACUUCUUUCAAACCAAAGCACAUGGUUUCUUCCGAUAGACCAUUACAACUACUUCACAUGGAUUUAUUUGGUCCCUCAAGGACAAAAAGUUUUGGUGGAAAUUACUAUGCUCUUGUUAUAGUAGACGAUUUUUCUAGAUAUACCUGGACUCUCUUCUUAGUACAUAAGAAUGAGGCAUUCAAAGCCUUUAGCAUUUAUGCUAAAAGAGUUCAGAAUGAAAAAUCUCUAAAAAUCGCUAUUAUACGAAGUGAUCAUGGGGGAGAAUUUCAAAACUCCUCUUUUGAGGAAUUCUGUGAUGAUCUUGGGAUCAAACCUCAGUUUUUCUACUCCUAGAACACCUCAGCAAAAUGGUGUUGUAGAGAGAAAGAAUCGGUCCUUAGAACAACUGGCUCGAACAAUGUUAAAGGAAACUAACCUCCCAAAAUACUUUUGGAUUGAUGCAGUUAGCACUGUGUGUUAUGUUUCGAAUCGAGUUCUUAUAAGACCUAUUUUUAAGAAAACCCCCUAUGAACUCUUCAAAGGUGGAAAACCUAACAUUUCUCAUCUACAUAUUUUUGGUUGUAAAUGUUUUGUUCUGAACAAUGGUAAGAAUAACUUGGGCAAGUUUGGUGCAAAAGCUUAUGAAGGAAUUUUCCUUGGCUAUUCUCUCACGAGUAAAUCUUAUAGAGUCUUUAAUAAAAGAACUCUAACCAUGGAAGAAUUUGUUCAUGUAACUUUUGAUGAAAUCAAUCAUGUAUUAAAAGAUGUGAUAUCCUGUGAUGAAGACAACUUGCCAAGUUCCCCUACUAAAGAUAAUUCUAUUGGUGAUAUUACAACUGAACUUGAAGAAUUGAGAAUGAAUGAUAAUCUAUCUUCUCAAGAAGAGCAUAUUCACUCAGAUCUACCAAAAAAAUGGAGAACUCAUCGAAAUCAUCCUAUUGACAACAUCAUCAGUGAUAUAAGUAAAGGUAUAACUACUCGUAGAAUGCUUGAUGCUUGUCUAAACAUGGCAUUCGUCUCUUAGAUAGAACCCUCUAAGAUUGAUGAUGCAAUCGAGGAUGAACACUGGAUUCUUGUUAUGCAAGAAGAAUUAAACCAGUUUGAGAGAAAUGAAGUUUGAGAACUUGUUCCUAGACCGAAAAAUAGGCAUGUCAUUGGAACUCGUUGGGUCUUUAGAAAUAAAUCUNNNNNNNNNNNNNNNNNNNNNNNNNNNNNNNNNNNNNNNNNNNNNNNNNNNNNNNNNNNNNNNNNNNNNNNNNNNNNNNNNNNNNNNNNNNNNNNNNNNNAUUUGCUGAAAAGAUUUGAUAUGGAUGACUGCAAACCAAUAUCUACUCCUAUGGGAUCUAACACAUACAUUGAUACCGAUGAAAGUGAAAAAAAUAUUGAAAUAUCAAAGUAUCGAGAUAUGAUCGGAUCUCUUUAAUAUUUGACUGCCAGUAGACCUGAUAUUAUGUUUAGUGUAUGUCUGUGUGCACGUUAUCAGUCUAAACCAAAAGAAUCACACUUAGUUGUUGUUAAGAGAAUUAUGAAAUAUCUUAAAGGUACAACUAAAAUUACUCUGGUAUCCAAAAGGAAGUAUAUGUGAAUUGGUUGGAUAUUCAGAUUCAGAUUUUGUCGGAUGUAAAUCUGAAAGGAAAAGUACAAUUGGUACUUGUCACAUUUUAGGCAAUGCUUUAGUCUCUUGGUCUUGCAAGAAACAAGCAUGUGUUGCGCUAAGCACUGCUGAGGCUGAAUAUAUAGCAGCAGGCAGUUGUGGUGCCCAAGUGUUGUGGCUUAAGCAACAAUUACGAGAUUAUGUCUUAGACUUAGGCUGCACUCUGCUGAAAUAUGAUAAUACUAGUGCUAUAAACCUUACAAAGAAUCAUAUUAUGUAUUCUAAAACCAAACACAUAGAUAUAAGACAUCACUUCCUAAGGGAUCAUGUUCAAAAGAAAGAUGUAUCCGUAGAAUUUGUUGAUACUCAUAACCAACUUGCAGACAUUUUCACUAAACCAUUGGCAAAAAAACAUUUUUACAAAAUUAGACUUGAAUUAGGCAUUCUUGAUGAAGCUUACCUGUCUUAACAUGCUUAUAUGAUUAUAUGUUUGCUUCAUUAUGUUUAUCUCAUGCCUACUUGAUCUUAAAUAUAUUUAUUUGUGUUCAAAAACUUCAAUUUUUGGGGUUAAAAAUCAUUUUCAUAGCUUAAUUUUGCCUAAAAAUAAGCUUUUAUGAGGUCAGUAAUCGAUUACAGUGGUAAGUAACCGCUUACAGGGUUGAACAACGUGUUUCAGUAACCGAUUACCAAAAGUGAGUAAUCGAUUACACCAAGUUGCUGUCUGAAAAUUUUAAAAAUUUAUUUUUAAGUAACCGAUUACUCAAAAUAAGUAACCGAUUACUCUGUGCUGUUAUAUAUGUAAUUUCUGCAAUUUUUUAACUUUUUCAAACUCAUCUUCCUCACUCAACUCGUGCUCUCUCCUUCUCAAAACCUCUCAACCUCUAAAAACCUUGUUGUUGAUCCGUUUCAAGAGCUUUUUUGUCCAUUCCUUUCACAUUUUUGAUUCCAAACACUUCUAACCAAUCAUUUUCCUGAUUAGUGGCUUAAAUAAAAAACCCCCAAAAUCUUCAAAUACCUAAAAUUUGAAAUCCAAAUUCACGGCUUCUUCUUCUAGAUCAAAGAAACAACGCUCCAAUACCUCUCAAAGGAGUCAAGGAACAACUCUUUGGAGUGUAACCCUCUGGAUUUGAUAAGACUUCUUGUUAAUGAUGAGCAACGCAAGAUAUUUGAGGAGCACUUCCAUGGUCGCACUAGUUUUACUCCUAAAUUCAGUAAUGUUGACAAUUUUGAGUUUGAAGAUUUUCUUUCCCUUAUCUUUUACGUCAACAAAACCUUUUUGACUUCUGUUGUGAAACAAAUGACAUUUAUCUCGAACUGUGCGAGUACUGUAACGUGAACUUUCGGAAAAACCGUCUUACCUCCUAUGUCAAAGGAAAAUACAUUAUUUUAGAUAUAAAAACUUUCAGUUCAUUGUUAUGUAACAUACCCUCUCAAGGUAACAUAACGGGUUUCAGCCAUGUAUGUGAAUGGGAUAAUUAUGAUCGAAAUGAUUUUUAUCAUUCGUUAUGUAGACUUUCAAAAAGGGAAAUAGAAAUGCGUAAGCAACAUGGCUUUGGAGAGACUGUCAAAAACCGAGACAUCCUAUCUACUGGAUAUCUCAAGCUAGAGGACCGUUUGCUUCAUUAUUUUUUGAGCUAUGUCAUCUUACCAAAAUUUUCAAAUCAUUCUCAAAUAAGUGACAGAACUCCAAUUGAUGUAUGCUUUAAAGUUUAACAUCAAGAUCAAUUGGGCUCUAAUGAUAAUGACACAAAUAUGGACUGUUAGAGGUACUCAAAGUUCUUUGCCAUAUGCAAUCUUCAUAACCAAUAUUCUUCAGCAUUUCGGAGUUUCUACGAAUGGUGAAACAAAGAUGCCUCUGAAUCUUCGAGAAAGCCAAAUUGAUGUGGAAGUGAUCAACAAAAUGGGUUUCACCCAAGACCCUCGAACCCGCAUCUACAAACAUAGAGCCGACAAACCGAUUGCUGCUGCUAAACCAUCUGAACCUGAAGCUCCUAACCCUUCUGAACCACAAUCGUCUGAGUUUCAUGCUCAAUCGUCCUCAUCUGCUGUCAUGCCCUCGAACCAAAUGAUUAUGGAUGAAUUGGUUUCUCUCCGUGGCUACAUCACUAACCGGAUGGAUGCUCUCGACUCUCAGAAUCAACAAAUACAAUAUGAACUUCACUGCCUCUCCUCUAGGAUGGAUAUCAUGGAUAUUCAUGAAGACAAUUCGGAGCCUGAGUCUUAGAAUAUCUGUUGUUAGGAUUUUCUGGUUGUAUUAUUUUCCAAUCUCAGACAAAAUUUUCUACUUAUUUGUUGUUUUUAAGUUAUUGCUGCAUAUUCUUGGACAAGAUACUUUAUGAUGUUUUAUGUUUUAUUGUUCCAUUCCUGGAUAUUUACAUCUUAUUUAUGCAUCGCAAUACUUGCUUAUCUAUAUCUUAAUCCAUACAUGAAUAUAUACUAUCAUAUUGAUAUAUUUUUUGAUUAUAUAAAGUGUAUGUAUGCUACAUAUAUUGUGCUAGAAUCUCUUUGCUUUUAUACUUUUUGAUGAAGUCAAAUGGGGAAGAAAAGUUGGAGUGUAUUUUCUGUAAAAUUAUUUCAGGCACAUUACUCCGAAAGAAAGGGGGAGCAUACUCAAGUCAAAACUUCAACAUAUCUCAAAGUAUGCUGCUCUUAAGAAAAUUACACUGUCAAGAAGAUUUUGGUUUGUCAUCAUCAAAAAGGGGUAGAUUGUGAAGAAGAUCUUUGCUCUUGACCUUGGCAAGGUUUUGAUGAAGCCACCAAUAUCACCAAAAAGAAGAAAAGGAAGAAUACUUAUGAAGACAAAGAAGAUUAAAGCUUCAAGAAAAUUAGAUUAAGUCUCUAUAUGUACUUCUAUCCUAAAACUCUUAAAUAUACAAAAUAUUAAUGCUCAAACUAUUUUUAAAGAAAAAUGAAACACUUUAAAAAUACUUGAAACACUUUUUCAAAAAUAGUGUUUAACGGGUUACUUCAUCUAAGUAACAAGUUACGUGUGUAAGAAAAAGAGUUAUCCAAUUUAAAACUGUUCAGAGUAAUCCAUUACUGCCUUUGAGUAACAGAUUAACAGUUUUGAAAAAGUUGAGUAACGAAAGUAAUUACUUUUAAAACAUAUUGGGUUUUUUAUGGGUCGGGCAAAAUUGGGUAUUCACACCCAUUAUUAGUAAUCGAUUACUGAGAGCUGUUGCAUAAGAUUUCAGAUUUUAAAAUGAAAUGCUUUCACUCCAAAUGAAAUCUCUUCACUUCAAACAACUCCUACACUUUCAGAAAGGCACCAUGAGUGUUUGGAAAGUCUAUAUAAAUGCUAUAACUCUCACAACACAAACACACAACAAUACAUAACUCUUAUAAAAUUUCCAAAAGCUCUUAAACUUAUUUUGAAGUUAUUUCUCUACACUUUUUGCAACUAGCACUCAAACUUUCAAAAGUUAUUUUUCUGAAGUUGCUUAGAAGUGUUUCAAAGCUUUCUAAAAGAGCAUUAUUAUUUAGUAUACUUAAAGAGUUGAUUGGAUUGCAAGUUAUACUAUUGUCAUACUUGUAAAGGCAAUCUGUCAUUGUUGUACAUUCUUCAAUAUUGUUGCUGAAUACUUUCUUUCACGGAGUGUGAAAAGAAAGGGGAUUAGAAUCACUUGGAAAUGUGUUUUCCAAGAGUGAAUAAGAAUUAGGGAGUGUGUAAGGUACAUAGAAAUCUCGGGGUAAGAUAUUGUAAUAACAACUCAUAAUUCUUAGUGAAGAAAUCUCUUGUGAUACAAGAGUACUGGACAUAGCCUUCGGUGAACAAGAAUGUGAACCAGUAUAAAAUCCUUGUGUACUCUCUUCUCCCUUAUCUCUUUCAUUUGAUCUUGAUUAUUUUUCUGCAUAUAUUUUCCGCUGCAUGUUAACUCUUGAUUUUGCUGAAAAAGUGGCCAUAAUAUUUAAGUCAACUAAUUCACCCCCUUCUUAGUUGCAACCUCGUUCUUACAAAAAAUUGGUUACAUGUGAGAGGGAAAGGGUUUGUAUGAAUCAGAGAUGGUAAAAAUGGCAAACAUGAAGAAAAAAACUUAUUAGUUGUUACUUGAUACCAUGAAGUACAAACAUGACCAUCAAAUCAAUAUUAUAUAUUAAAAAUAGAGCUUAUUAGUUGUUAGUAAAACAAAUUUGCCAUUUUAAAUCCACCAACAAGGGAUUUGUAACUUUCUCUCAAGUGCAGUUUCUUUUCAACUUGAACAGAUUAACCAUAACAGAAAAACCAGAAUAGAUUAAACCUGCCAUCAAGAUAGAAAAUUAACCAGCAUUAUUUCUAGAACAGUGGUUUAUUUUAUUCAAGAACAGAUUAACCAGUGUGUUCUGUUGGUUUUUUCUGGAAGAGAUUAUGCAGCGUUUUUUUUUGGUUUAAUAUGUUCUGUUCUGGUUUCAAAACAAAUAAUUAAACCAUGAGACAGCAGUACAGUAGACUGGACACAUCUAAGUACAAAUUUUGCAAUGCAUAAAGAAUCUAUAUGAUAAGAAGGAAGACUUAGCAGGGAAAAAAAGAUUAUAGCUGCUUCCAAAAGAGAUUAAAGGCCAAAAAUUGAAUAUCCAAAAGCAUUCACUUCAGCUUUCAAAAGCUGUUUUUUCUUUUCUAUUUUACUCUGUUUUUUAUGUGUUGUGUGGUGAAAACAGUGUCUAGGUAACAUAUUAAAGCAAAUAGAGCUACCAAAUAUAGAUAUAUAAGAUAAGUUAAACUUUUGAAACAAUGAUAUAUAUUCAAGCAAAUGGUGAACUUUAAUCAACUUAUUAUAAUAAUCAAAUUACAUCAACUUAGGAUGCAUCUCUCAACCUAAUUGGAUGUAUGAGUUUUGUUACCAUUUCUUUUUCUUUUGAGCAUUAUCGGUACCUACUGUGCAGAAGAUCUUUGCUCCUGACCUUGGCAUGGUUUUGAUGAAGACACUAAAAUCACCAAAAAGAAGAAAAGGAAGAAUACUCAUAAAGACAAUUAAGAUUCAAGUUUCAAGAUAUUCAAGACUUGUAGUGUAAGUCUAAAAUAGGUACGGGUACUUCUAUCAUAUACUCUUGAUUAUACAAUAGUAGUAAUGUUCAAACUAUUUUUAUAAGAAAAUUGAAACUCUUUAAAAUACUUAAAACAAUUUUCAAAAAUAGUGUGUAACGGUUACUGCAUCUAAGUAACAGGUUACACGUGUGAGAAAAGAGUUAUCCAACUUAAAACUGACCAGAGUAAUCCAUUACUGUCUUUGAGUAACAAAUUACCAGUGUUAUCUGAUUACUCAACUUGUUGUAAUCGAUUACUCUAAUUCGAAAAUAAAUGAUUAGUGGACUGAACAUUUGAGUAAUCGAUUACUCAAUGCUGUAAUCAAUUACUGAGAGUUGUUGCAUCAUAUUUUCAAAUUCAAAGUGAAUGAGUUUCAACCCAAAAGACAUAUUUUCAUUCCAAUCAAUUCCUAUCCUUUCAAAGAGACAUUUUGGCUGAUUGGAAAGCCUAUAUAAAGGCAUUGAAACUCACAAUCACAACACACAACAUAUACACAACUCUCAUACAAAUUUCAAAAGCUCUUACACAUAUUCUGAAAUUAUUCUCUACACUUUUAGCAACAAGUUCUUAAACUUUCAAAGUUAAUUUUUCUGAAGUUGCAUAAAGUGAAAGUGUUUCAAGUUUACAAACAUAUAAAGAACAUUAUUACUAAGUAUACAAAAGAGUUGAUUGGAUUGCAAGUUACAUCACUUUCAUACUUGUAAAGGCAAUUCCGUCAUUGUUGAACAUUCUUUAUUAUUAUUGCAGAAUACUUUCUUUCACGGGAUGUAAUAAGAAAGGGGAUUAGAAUUACUUGGAUAUGUGUUUUCCAAAAGUGAAUAAGGAUUAAGGAGUGUGUAAGGUACAUAGAGAUCUCGGGGUGAUAUAUUAUAAUUGCAACUCAUAAUCUUUAGUGGAAAAAUCUCUUGUGCUGCAAGAGUACCGAACGUAGCCUUUGGUAGACAAGAAGGUGAACCAAUAUAAAAAUCAUUGUGUAUUCUCUUCUCCCUUAUCUCUUUGAUUUUACUUAUUAGUUUUCUCCAUAUAUUUUCCGCUGCACUUUAACUCUUGAUUUUGCAGAAAAAGUAACCAUUAUUUUAAGAUUGAUGAAGCAUGUCUAAACAUGACAUUCAUCUCUCAAAUAGAGCCCUCCAAGAUUGAUGAAGCAAUCGAGGAUGAAAACUGGAUUCUUACUAUGCAAGAAGAAUUAAACCAGUUUGAGAGAAAUGAAGUUUGGGAACUUGUUCCUAGACCGAAAAACAGGUAUGUUAUUGGAACUCAGUGGGUAUUUCGAAAUAAAUCUGAUGAAAAUGGUAUUAUAGUUAGAAAUAAAGCUAGACUAGUAGCCUAAGGAUACAAUCAGGAAGAAUGUAUAGACUUUGAUGAAACCUUCGCUCCGGUUGCUAGACUUGAAACUAUUAAGCUACUACUUGCAUAUGUCUGUUCAUUGAAUUUUCUGUUAUAUCAAAUGGACGUAAAGAGUGCUUUCCUCAACGACUAUAUUUAAGAAGAAGUGUUUGUUGAACAACCUUCUGGUUUUGAAGAUUACAAACAUCCUUCUUAUGUGUACAAAUUAAAGAAAGCCCUCUAUGGCUUAAAACAAACUCCUCGUGCAUGGUAUGAUCGUCUAACUAAAUUUCUACUUGAAAAAAGGUUUCAACAAAGGAAAGGUCGAUAUUAUACUCUUUAUAUAAAGAAUAAAUCAUCAUAAUCUACUUGUUCAAAUUUACGUAGAUGAUAUUAUUUUUUGUUCUACAAAUGAGGUUUUGUGUAGUGAAUUUAGCCAAAUGAUACAUGGAGAGUUUGAAAUGUCCAUGAUGGGGAAGUUAAAUUACUUCCUUGGAAUUCAAAUCAAACAACUUGAUAAUGGAAUUUUCGUAAGUUAAUCCAAGUAUUACAGAGACUUGCUAAAAAGAUUUGACAUGGAGGGCUGCAAGCCAAUAGCUAUUCCUAUGGUAUCCGGUAAUUUCAUUGAUACAAAUCAAGUAAGAAAAAGCAUUGAAAUAUCAAAGUAUCGAGGUAUGAUUGGAUCUCUUUUAUAUUUAACUGUCAGUAGACCUGAUAUCAUGUUUAGUGUAUGUCUGUGUGCACGCUAUAAAUCUAAACCAAAAGAAUCACACUUAGUUGUCGUUAAGAGAAUCAUGAAAUAUCUUACGGGUACAUCUAACGUUGGGAUGUGGUAUCCAAAAGGAAGUAUAUAUGAUCUGGUUGGUUAUUCGAAUUCAGAUUUUGCUGGGUGCAAAUCUGAAAGGAAAAGUACAAGUGAUACUUGUCAUAUUUUGGGAAAUGCUUUAGUCUCUUGGUCUUGCAAGAAACAAGCAUGUGUUCUCCUAAGCACUGCUGAAGCUGAAUAUAUAGCAACAGAUAGUUGUAGUGCCUAAGUGUUGUGGCUCAAACAACAAUUACGAGGUUAUGGCUUAGACUUGGGGUGCAUUCCUUUAAAAUGUGACAAUACAAGUGCUAUAAACCUCACAAAGAAUCUUGUUAUGCAUUCUAAAACCAAACACAUUGAUAUAAGACAUCACUUCCUUAGGAACCAUGUCCAACAGAAGGAUGUGUCUGUAAAAUUUGUUGAUACUCACAACCAACUAGCAGAUAUAUUCACUAAAUCAUUGGCAAAAUAACCUUUUUACAAAAUUAGACGAGAAUUAGGCACUCUUGAUGAAGCAUACUUAUCUUAAAUGCUUAUAUAUGAUUAUAUGUGUGCUUCAUUAUAUCUAUUUCAUGCCUACUUGAACUUAAAUAUGUUUAUUUAUGUUUAAAAAUUUCAAUUUUUGGGUUAAAAAUCAUUUUCAUAGCUUAAUUUUGCCUAAAAAUAAGUUUUUCUAGGGUUAGUAAUCGAUUAUACUGGAGAGUAACCGAUUACAGGGUUGAACAGCGUGUUUCACUAACCGAUUACUCUAUGUUGCUGUUUGAAAAAUUUUUAAUUUUUAAUUUGAGUAACCGAUUACUCUUUGCUGUUGUAUAUGUAUUUUUUCUGCAUUUUUAAAACUUUUUCAAACUCAUCUUCUUCCUCAUUUUAAACCUUCAUCGUGGCCACCUCUCUCUCUCUAAAAUCUUCGCUUUUGGUCCGUUUUGAGUGAUUUUUGUGUGCUUUCAUAUCAUAUUUUCACUUCUAAACACUUCUAAACCAUCAUUUUCGUGUUUAGUGGCCUAAAUCAAAACUCACAAAUCUCCAAAACCCAAAAACCUAACUUUUCAAAAACUCAUUUCAAUGGCUUCCUCAUCUAGAACCAAGAAGCAACGCACCAAUCUCACUCAAAGGAACCAAGGAACUUCAUCUUUGAAGUCCAACCCUCUUAACUUAAUGCGACUUCUAGCAAAUGAUGAGCAACGUAAAAUCUUUGAGGAGCACUUCCAUAGUCGCAUUAUCUUCACUAUGAAAUACGGUAAUCUUGGGAACUUUGAGUUAGAAGAUUUUUUAUUUCCUUAUCUCUUAAGACAACAAAACCUUUUCGUUUUCUAUUGUGAAUCAAAUGAAAUAUAUCCUGAACUGAUAAGAGUAUUUUACUGUAACAUGAACUUUAGGAAAAACCGUCUUACUUCAAAUGUAAAAGGAAAAGACAUUACUUUGGAUUUGAAAACCAUGAGUUCAUUGUGCUUGAACAUACCCUAUCAGGGGAGCAUGGUAGGUUUCGGCCUUGUAUGCGAAUGGGAAAAUUAUGAUCGAAAAUAUUUUAAUUAUUCUCUGUGUAGAAUAACCAAAGAGGAAAUAGAAACGCUUAAGCAACAUUGCUAUGGCAAAACUGUUAAAAAUAGAGACAUAGAUGUCCACCAAUUAGAUUUCUAUGUCACUUAUUUAAUGUGAAAAUCAAUUGGACUCUGAUGAUAAUUAGACAAAUGUGAUCUGUAAGAGGAACACAAAGCCCUUUGCCAUAUGCAAUCUUCAUAACCAAAAUCCUGGAGCAUUUUGGUGUUUCUACUGCUGGAGAAACUAGGGUCCCGCUUAACCCUCGUGAAAGGCAUAUUGAUGUGGAUGUAAUCCACAAAAUGGGUUACACAUUUGAUCUUCAUGACCGGACCUACAAGCAUAAGAAAGAUAGACCUCAUGCUCCUAAACCAAAACCUACCUCUGCUAAUCCUUUUGAACCUCAACCUUCUGAGUUUUAUGCUCAAUCUUCCUCAUCUGCUGUCAUACCUUCAAAUCAAAUGACUAUGGAUGAGUUGAUUUCUCUUCGAGGCUACAUCACUAACUGGAUGGAUGCCUUUGAUACUCAGAAUCAACAAAUCUGAUUUGAACUUUAUCAUCUCUCUUCUAAGCUGAGUAGCAUGGACGUUGAUGAAGACAGUUCUGAGCCUAAAUCUUAGACUUUAUCUAUUGUUAGGAUUUUCUGGUUGUAAUGUUAAUUUCUCAUGGUCUCGGACAAAUUUCUAUUAUGUUGUUUGUAUUGUUGUUUGCAUUGUUAAUGCUUGAACAUCUUUUUACUUUUAUGAUAUUGCUCAAAUUUUAUUAUUUCUUGAUAUCCAUAUUAUUAUAUGUUAUAUAUAUCCUAUUGCAUGUAUGUUAUAUAUAUUGUGCUGGAUUCUAGGCUUUUCUACUUUUUGAAGAAGUCAAAAGGGAGAGAAAAGUUGGGAGAGUAUAUUUUCUGUUUAAAACAUUUCAGGCACAUAGUAUGCUGCUCUCAAAAAGUUUGCUGCUCUUAGAAAAUUAUAUUAUUAAGAUAUUGGUUUGUCAUCAUCAAAAACUGAGAGAUUGUGAAGAUCUUUGCUCUUGACCUUGGUACGAUUUUGAUGAAGAUACCAACAUCACCAAAAAGAAGAAAAUAAAGAAUACUUAUAAAGACAAUGAAGAUUCAAGCUUCAAGAUAUUCAAGACUUUUAGUCUAAGUCUAAAAUAGGUAAUUCUAUCCUAUACUCUUGAUUAAUAGUAGUAAUGCUCAAACUAUUUUUAAAAGAAAAUUGAAACACUUUAAAAUACUUAAAACAAUUUUCAAAAAUAGUGUGUAAUGGGUUACUUCAUCUAAGUAACAUGUUACGAGUGUGAGAAAAGAGUUAUCCAACUUAAAACUGAUCAUAGUAAUCAAUUACUGUCUUUGAGUAACAGAUUACCAUUGUUAUUAAAGUAGAGUAGCCGAUUACUCAACUUGUUAUAAUCGAUUACUCUAAUUCGAAAAUAAAUGAUCAGUGGACAGAACAUUUGAGUAAUCGAUUACUCAAUACUGUAAUCGAUUACUAAGAGCUGUUGUAUCAGAUUUUCAAAUUCAAAGUGAACGAGUUUCAACCCAAAAGACAUUUUUUCCUUCCAAUCAAUUCCUACGCUUUCAAAGAGACAAUUUGACUGAUUGGAAAGCCUAUAUAAUGGCAUUGAAACUAACAAUCACAACACACAACAUAUAUGCAACUCUCAUACAAAUUUCAAAAGCUUUUACGCAUAUUCUAAAAUUAUUCUCUGCACUUUUGGCAACAAGUUCUUAAACUUUCAAAGUUGAUUUUUCUGAAGUUGCUUAAAGGGAAAAUGUUUCAAGUUUACAAACUUAUAAAGAGCAUUAUUACUAAGUAUACAAAAGAGUUGAUUGGACUGUGUCGCGCCCCGAUUUUCGGCUACGUGACCUCUUAGAGUCGCCACUACAUUUUAUGGUUAAAAAUGUUGAAAAAUAUUCAAAGCUCAAUCACAUUGGGCUUUUGGAUAUUUGAUAUCCAGGUUCGGGAGUCGAUUAUGAAUUGGGGAAGGUAUUAGCACCCCGUUCGCCUGUAAUAAAACGGUACUCUGACUAAUUGCAUUAAUUGAAUACCCUUAAUUUAUUUAAAUUAAAUUACUUAAACAAAAUAUUUAAUUUUUAUUUUUAUUUGUGUCUGACAAGUUCAUAUUGCUCCUACGUAACCCGGGUGCAAUAGGGAAAUCAAGACUACAUAAUUAUAGUUUAAAAGUUGGUAACUUGGUUGGAAAAAAAGUUAGAAAUUGUUUGAAUUUAAUCGAAGUUAAAUUAAUAAACGAAGAGUCAACAUUGACUACUUACCCUCUUCUCACUUCGAUAGAUAGCAGAAGCAGUACAAAUGACGCGACCGGUUCUCAACUCGAAGCGAAAAUAAAAAUGCAAUAUGAGUUGUAACCUCGUUAUUGAAUCACAAAAUAAUUAAAACGUUUAUUAUUACUGUUUUUGAACAAAAAGCUUAGAAAUUUGUUUGGAUUUAAUUGAAGUGAAAUUAAUAGACGAAGAGUCAACAUUGAUUGCUUACCCCUUUCUCACUUCAAUAAAUAGCAGAAACAGUACAAGUGACCACGACUGGUUCUCAACUCCAAGUGAAGAGAAAGAUACGAUACGAGUUGUAAUCUCGCUAUCAAAUUCUCAUUAUAACAUUUAUUUGUUAUUAAGGAAAUAUUUAUUGAUUAUUACUUAAUGGACAAUUUUUUUACUAAUACAGACACAAUUAUAUAAAUAUUAUUUUUUAUUAUAAAAUAAUUUUUAUUAUAAAAGGCCAAUAGUGAGAUUAAAUUAUCAUAUAAAAGGUAUUCAUUACCUAUUUUUAUUAUACAUAUUGAAUCAUUAGGAGUGCUGCCUGCUAUUAGGAUUUCUGUGAUUUUCACAUCUAUUGUUUCUCUUGAGUGCCAUAAUUCACAACUAAAUCAUACAUCUCUGCAUAUUAUUACUAUAACUAAUUUUGAACAUAUAAGGUUGCAAAGAAAAAGGGUAAUAUAGUUUCCAAAAGAUUGUUUAUUAUUUUUUUACUUAAAAUAUGCUAAAAUAUAUAACCGGAACACGCUAUGUUCCUUGGUUUCAUCCUGGGAGAAUUUAUGAUAAUGCAAGUCAUUGAAAAGAAAAAGUAAGUCAUUAUUAGAGUAGUUAUAGAAUAAUAUUGUUGAGAACUUGAGAUUGGAGUAUUAUAUUAUGAUUAUGCACAUAUAUGUAUUCAAAAGCUUGGUCGUAAGAGAGAAGGAUGAACCAUAUACCUAGACGUGGAGCAUGUGUAGAAGGCUGGAAUUCCUGGGAGAAAAACAAAGUUCUCACGGUUGUGCUGACGUGUUGAUUUCUGUGUUGGCCUGUUGAAUUUGACUGGUCUCUAGACGUUAUCAACAAGGCAGUGAAUUGAGAUGAAGGAUUUGGUCUUAGAUGACCAUUGAUAUACCUUCAACCUUAUGGCACUUUACCAAUGGAUGUAUUAGCUUUACAAGAAGCCACCCCUCUUUCACAUGUUCAUUCUUGUGAAGCUUGUUGAGUCUGAUUGGUGAUUUUAUCCAUUUUCAAGAAGCACCAUUCUUGGUUAUUUUGAAGUUUCAAUAUUUUUCCAGUUUUUGAUAACUGAUGAGUUAAAUAAAAUGAGAGAGAAAUAGAGUAGUGGGGUUCAACGUUGGAGAGGAGAAAAAAAAAACCCCAAGUGAAGAUGUGAGAGUGGGGUAUUAUCUUUUCUUGGUUUGUUGAGAAUUUUGACGGGAUGAUAGUGGAUGGGAGAUUUGGGAUGUUUUUAUGGAUGAUACUUCAGGAUGGAAGAUUUCGUGUUUGAGAUGGAGGGUGAAGAAAGGUUUUGGAG